AUCCCAUCCCGAACUCAGCAGUGAAACGAUGUAUCGCCGAUGGUAGAGUGGGGUUUCCCCAUGUGAGAGUAGGUCAUCGUCAAGA
This 85-nucleotide ribosomal RNA is filed under the name Pseudomonas syringae pv. actinidiae. The record is from RNAcentral. Lineage: Bacteria; Pseudomonadati; Pseudomonadota; Gammaproteobacteria; Pseudomonadales; Pseudomonadaceae.